GGUAGCUCAGUGGUAGAGUGCUUGCCUUGCAUGCAUGAAGCCCUGGGUUCGAUUCCUCAGGACCA
Molecule: transfer RNA, 65 nt
Filed under: Dipodomys ordii (Ord's kangaroo rat)
Lineage: Eukaryota; Metazoa; Chordata; Mammalia; Rodentia; Heteromyidae
Rfam family: tRNA
About the family: Transfer RNA (tRNA) molecules are approximately 80 nucleotides in length. Their secondary structure includes four short double-helical elements and three loops (D, anti-codon, and T loops).
Source: Rfam by way of RNAcentral